AGCAGCCGCGGUAAUUCCAGCUCCAAUAGCGUAUAUUAAAGUUGUUGCAGUUAAAAAGCUCGUAGUUGAAUUUCGAGAUCGGCUUACUGGUCGUGCUAUUGUACGUACUGGUAUAAUCGGUUUCUCCUUUCUGACGAACUAUAAUGCCAUUAAUUUGGUGUUUUAGGGAAUCAGGACUGUUACUUUGAAAAAUUAGAGUGUUUAAAGCAGGCUCACGCUUGAAUACAUUAGCAUGGAAUAACGGAAUAGGACGUUUGAUUCUAUUUUGUUGGUUUCUAGGAUCGACGUAAUGAUUAAUAGGGAUAGUUGGGGGCAUUAGUAUUCAAUUGUCAGAGGUGAAAUUCUUGGAUUUAUUGAAGACUAACUACUGCGAAAGCAUUUGCCAAGGAUGUUUUCAUUAAUCAAGAACGAAAGCUAGGGGAUCGAAGACGAUCAGAUACCGUCGUAGUCUUAACCAUAAACUAUGCCGACUAGGGAUCGGAUGAUGUUAAUUUUUAAUUGACUCA
Molecule: ribosomal RNA, 506 nt
Filed under: uncultured Glomeraceae
Lineage: Eukaryota; Fungi; Glomeromycota; Glomeromycetes; Glomerales; Glomeraceae
Description: SSU rRNA
Rfam family: Eukaryotic small subunit ribosomal RNA
Source: RNAcentral